RNAcentral lists this transfer RNA (73 nucleotides) under Paramuricea clavata. It matches the Rfam family "tRNA". From Rfam's summary of the family: Transfer RNA (tRNA) molecules are approximately 80 nucleotides in length. The record is from Rfam by way of RNAcentral. Lineage: Eukaryota; Metazoa; Cnidaria; Anthozoa; Malacalcyonacea; Plexauridae.
GACCACGUAGCUCAGUUGAUAGAGCAUUAGGCUAGUAUUCCAAAGGUCGUAGGUUCGAUUCCCACCGUGGCCG